GAUGAAGAACGUAGCGAAAUGCGAUAAGUAAUGUGAAUUGCAGAAUCCAGUGAAUCAUCGAAUCUUUGAACGCACAUUGCGCCCGCCAGCAUUCUGGCGGGCAUGCCUGUUCGAGCGUCAUUUCAACCCUCGACCUCCCCUUGGGGAGGUCGGCGUUGGGGACCGGCAGCACACCGCCGGCCCUGAGAUGGAGUGGCGGCCCGUCUGCGGCGACCUCUGCGUAGUAAUACAGCUCGCACCGGAACCCCGACGCGGCCACGCCGUAAAACACCCAACUUCUGAACGUUGACCUCGAAUCAGGUAGGACUACCCGCUGAACUUAAGCAUAUCAAUAAGCGGAGGA
Molecule: unclassified non-coding RNA, 343 nt
Filed under: soil metagenome
Description: partial contains 5.8S ribosomal RNA, internal transcribed spacer 2, and large subunit ribosomal RNA
Rfam family: 5.8S ribosomal RNA (bases 1-120)
Source: RNAcentral